Carassius gibelio (silver crucian carp) is the source of this 459-nucleotide long non-coding RNA. RefSeq lists it as uncharacterized. Lineage: Eukaryota; Metazoa; Chordata; Actinopteri; Cypriniformes; Cyprinidae. The record is from RefSeq and is a predicted model, not a curated record. The transcript has 5 exons.
UCAGUCUGAACUAAAUCCAUACAACCUUAAAAGAGCUCAAUUCAUUUGUGUCGAAACAACAAAAAAUAAUGAUUCAAGUCAAACUACUACUUUUGCGCAUGCGCUGAUGACAGGAAAUCCACGUGACCUCGUCAGUUAUCGCGGGCGCCAUUAUGUGGUGGAGUCCAGUCUAUGGUGGAAUGCUGUAGAAUUGGUUUUUACAAGAGCUCAUUAAAUAGCAAUCCUAUACUUGGGUUAUAGUCUACUUUUUCACAUGGUUUACAAGAGCAAUAAACAGCAUCCCAUGCUUGGGUUUUAGUAAACUUUUUCAUGUGAACAACAGCGUAGACAUGGAAAGAGAAUGCAUCCUCAAAAAGCACUGUGUGUAUACUUAAAGGAGGACCAUCUACAGCUGUUCAAGGAGUACAAUAAAACGUGCAAAUACUGAGUUCUCUUUCAAGUCUUGUGCUUCAGAGGCCG